RNAcentral lists this ribosomal RNA (253 nucleotides) under uncultured bacterium. RNAcentral describes it as "partial 16S ribosomal RNA". It matches the Rfam family "Bacterial small subunit ribosomal RNA", at positions 524 to 776 of the family's 1533-position model. The record is from RNAcentral.
UACAGAGGGUGCAAGCGUUGUUCGGAAUUACUGGGCGUAAAGCGCGUGUAGGCGGUUUGGUAAGUCAGACGUGAAAUCCCUUGGCUCAACUGAGGAACUGCGUCUGAUACUGCCUGACUCGAGUGUCGGAGGGGAUGGUGGAAUUCCCGGUGUAGAGGUGAAAUUCGUAGAGAUCGGGAGGAACACCCGUGGCGAAGGCGACCAUCUGGAAGACAACUGACGCUGAGACGCGAAAGCGUGGGUAGCAAACAGG